GGUGCUUGCACCGAGAUUCAACAUGGAACGAGUGGCGGACGGGUGAGUAACACGUGGGUAACCUGCCCUUAAGUGGGGGAUAACAUUUGGAAACAGAUGCUAAUACCGCAUAGAUCCAAGAACCGCAUGGUUCUUGGCUGAAAGAUGGCGUAAGCUAUCGCUUUUGGAUGGACCCGCGGCGUAUUAGCUAGUUGGUGAGGUAAUGGCUCACCAAGGCGAUGAUACGUAGCCGAACUGAGAGGUUGAUCGGCCACAUUGGGACUGAGACACGGCCCAAACUCCUACGGGAGGCAGCAGUAGGGAAUCUUCCACAAUGGACGCAAGUCUGAUGGAGCAACGCCGCGUGAGUGAAGAAGGCUUUCGGGUCGUAAAACUCUGUUGUUGGAGAAGAAUGGUCGGCAGAGUAACUGUUGUCGGCGUGACGGUAUCCAACCAGAAAGCCACGGCUAACUACGUGCCAGCAGCCGCGGUAAUACGUAGGUGGCAAGCGUUAUCCGGAUUUAUUGGGCGUAAAGCGAGCGCAGGCGGUUUUUUAAGUCUGAUGUGAAAGCCCUCGGCUUAACCGAGGAAGCGCAUCGGAAACUGGGAAACUUGAGUGCAGAAGAGGACAGUGGAACUCCAUGUGUAGCGGUGAAAUGCGUAGAUAUAUGGAAGAACACCAGUGGCGAAGGCGGCUGUCUGGUCUGUAACUGACGCUGAGGCUCGAAAGCAUGGGUAGCGAACAGGAUUAGAUACCCUGGUAGUCCAUGCCGUAAACGAUGAAUGCUAGGUGUUGGGAGGGUUUCCGCCCUUCAGUGCCGCAGCUAACGCAUUAAGCAUUCCGCCUGGGGGAGUACGACCGCAAGGUUGAAACUCAAAGGAAUUGACGGGGGCCCGCACAAGCGGUGGAACCAUGGUGGUUUAAUUCGAAGCAACGCGAAGAACCUUACCAGGUCUUGACAUCUUUUGAUCACCUGAGAAGAUCAGGUUUCCCCUUCGGGGGCAAAAUGACAGGUGGGGGCAAGGGUUGUCCUCAGCUCCUGUCGUGAGAAGUUUGGGGUUAAAUCCCCCCACCAAGCGCACCCCUUAUUAACAAGUUGCCCGCCAUUUUAGUUGGGGCCUCCUAUUAAAACAUGCCGGUGAAAACCCAAGAAAGAGGGGGGGGGGGAGGGGCCCAAACAUCACUGGCCCUUUUUUAACUGGGGGUGACACCCCGGUCAC
RNAcentral lists this ribosomal RNA (1200 nucleotides) under Lacticaseibacillus casei. Its description in RNAcentral is "bacterial SSU rRNA". It matches the Rfam family "Bacterial small subunit ribosomal RNA", at positions 64 to 1228 of the family's 1533-position model. Lineage: Bacteria; Bacillati; Bacillota; Bacilli; Lactobacillales; Lactobacillaceae. The record is from RNAcentral.